CAAUGGGCGCAAGCCUGAUGCAGCGACGCCGCGUGAGGGAUGGAGGCCUUCGGGUUGUAAACCUCUUUUAUCGGGGAGCAAGCGUGAGUGAGUUUACCCGUUGAAUAAGCACCGGCUAACUACGUGCCAGCAGCCGCGGUAAUACGUAGGGUGCAAGCGUUAUCCGGAAUUAUUGGGCGUAAAGGGCUCGUAGGCGGUUCGUCGCGUCCGGUGUGAAAGUCCAUCGCUUAACGGUGGAUCCGCGCCGGGUACGGGCGGGCUUGAGUGCGGUAGGGGAGACUGGAAUUCCCGGUGUAACGGUGGAAUGUGUAGAUAUCGGGAAGAACACCAAUGGCGAAGGCAGGUCUCUGAGCCGUUACUGACGCUGAGGAGCGAAAGCGUGGGGAGCGAACAGGAUUAGAUACCCUGGUAGUCCACGCCGUAAACGGUGGAUGCUGGAUGUGGGGCCCGUUCCACGGGUUCCGUGUCGGAGCUAACGCGUUAAGCAUCCCGCCUGGGGAGUACGGCCGCAAGGCUAAAACUCAAAGAAAUUGACGGGGGCCCGCACAAGCGGCGGAGCAUGCGGAUUAAUUCGAUGCAACGCGAAGAACCUUACCUGGGCUUGACAUGUUCCCGACGGUCGUAGAGAUACGGCUUCCCUUCGGGGCGGGGUUCACAGGU
Molecule: ribosomal RNA, 660 nt
Filed under: uncultured bacterium
Lineage: Bacteria
Description: bacterial SSU rRNA
Rfam family: Bacterial small subunit ribosomal RNA
Source: RNAcentral